Molecule: ribosomal RNA, 900 nt
Filed under: Microbacterium paraoxydans
Lineage: Bacteria; Bacillati; Actinomycetota; Actinomycetes; Micrococcales; Microbacteriaceae
Description: bacterial SSU rRNA
Rfam family: Bacterial small subunit ribosomal RNA
Source: RNAcentral
UGCUUAACACAUGCAAGUCGAACGGUGAACACGGAGCUUGCUCUGUGGGAUCAGUGGCGAACGGGUGAGUAACACGUGAGCAACCUGCCCCUGACUCUGGGAUAAGCGCUGGAAACGGCGUCUAAUACUGGAUAUGUGACGUGACCGCAUGGUCUGCGUUUGGAAAGAUUUUUCGGUUGGGGAGGGGCUCGCGGCCUAUCAGCUUGUUGGUGAGGUAAUGGCUCACCAAGGCGUCGACGGGUAGCCGGCCUGAGAGGGUGACCGGCCACACUGGGACUGAGACACGGCCCAGACUCCUACGGGAGGCAGCAGUGGGGAAUAUUGCACAAUGGGCGAAAGCCUGAUGCAGCAACGCCGCGUGAGGGAUGACGGCCUUCGGGUUGUAAACCUCUUUUAGCAGGGAAGAAGCGAAAGUGACGGUACCUGCAGAAAAAGCGCCGGCUAACUACGUGCCAGCAGCCGCGGUAAUACGUAGGGCGCAAGCGUUAUCCGGAAUUAUUGGGCGUAAAGAGCUCGUAGGCGGUUUGUCGCGUCUGCUGUGAAAUCCCGAGGCUCAACCUCGGGCCUGCAGUGGGUACGGGCAGACUAGAGUGCGGUAGGGGAGAUUGGAAUUCCUGGUGUAGCGGUGGAAUGCGCAGAUAUCAGGAGGAACACCGAUGGCGAAGGCAGAUCUCUGGGCCGUAACUGACGCUGAGGAGCGAAAGGGUGGGGAGCAAACAGGCUUAGAUACCCUGGUAGUCCACCCCGUAAACGUUGGGAACUAGUUGUGGGGUCCAUUCCACGGAUUCCGUGACGCAGCUAACGCAUUAAGUUCCCCGCCUGGGGAGUACGGCCGCAAGGCUAAAACUCAAAGGAAUUGACGGGGACCCGCACAAGCGGCGGAGCAUGCGGAUUAAUUCG